GGAUGACCCAGUUCGAAAACGCAUCAAACUUAUUAUUAUUUUUUAUUACUUUGAGUGUGUUUGUUUGAUUUUAAUCGAAUACUGAAAUAAAUUAAUGAAAUUUAAUUAUAUUAAUAAGAAAAUUCUUUUAUAAGCAGCCAUAAUAAUUCAAAAAGUGCCACAAACUAUAAGAAACUUUCAAAAUAGAAAAAUAAAAAUGUACACAAGGAGAACAAAUGAAACAAAAAAUCAAAAUAAGAGAAAAGUAGAGAAUGAAUUGCAGAGAAAGUAGAGAAUGAAUUGCAGAGAUACUUAAGGUUAAACAUUGAAU
RNAcentral lists this unclassified non-coding RNA (310 nucleotides) under Hevea brasiliensis (rubber tree). Lineage: Eukaryota; Viridiplantae; Streptophyta; Magnoliopsida; Malpighiales; Euphorbiaceae. The record is from RNAcentral.